Molecule: transfer RNA, 77 nt
Filed under: Escherichia coli
Lineage: Bacteria; Pseudomonadati; Pseudomonadota; Gammaproteobacteria; Enterobacterales; Enterobacteriaceae
Also listed under: 2 other names
Description: tRNA-Val
Rfam family: tRNA
About the family: Transfer RNA (tRNA) molecules are approximately 80 nucleotides in length. Their secondary structure includes four short double-helical elements and three loops (D, anti-codon, and T loops).
Source: RNAcentral
GGGUGAUUAGCCUCAGCUGGGAGAGCACCUCCCUUACAAGGAGGGGGUCGGCGGUUCGAUCCCGUCAUCACCCACCA